Acinonyx jubatus (cheetah) is the source of this 10888-nucleotide long non-coding RNA. RefSeq lists it as uncharacterized. The record is from RefSeq and is a predicted model, not a curated record. NCBI's taxonomy places the organism in Eukaryota, Metazoa, Chordata, Mammalia, Carnivora, Felidae. The transcript is spliced from 3 exons.
GGCCAAAGUCUGCCAUGGCUGGAGUAUGUGUUUAAAUUUUAAAUGACAGAGGUCCCCACCCCAGAGGCUUAAGGCCAGAAUGCAGACUGGUCCCUGCUCCCCUGAAAUCUGAUUAAAAAGACGUUUUGAGAGUGCACUCGCACCUCUUAAAUGACCUCCCUGAAUGCAUCUCGGGAGUUUAACAGCACCAGCAACACCAAUAUUAAAACAUCACCCUCAUUUCCAGGGCUGUUUUCCUCCAACAUGUCACCAAACACUUUCCCCACAAGGAAGUCUGCUUGAGGCCAGGCAAUUGGCUGCCCUUAAAUAAAACCAUUUAGCCCCAGUCCCAACCCGGAGGGUGAGUCAGCUCCCUGCUGCCAGGGUAGCCUCCUUGUUGGUCUUGGAAGCCGGAACCAGGGAGGGUGUUUCAAAAGGCAGAGGGCAACCCUGGGUUGCCACCCUGGACCGCCUAGGAUUAGAUGUAUCAGCAGGCACCACUCCCACUUCACAGACCAGCUCUCGACUGAGUGAGUGUGAGUGGCUACCAGGGGCACUGUUACUCCCGGGGCCAUUCCCCCAACACCUCCCCUCUUUGGCAGUCAUCAGAAAAGCUGUGUUCCGAAACACAGUGUCAGGGGAUGGGGAGGGAAUAGAGUGCUAGUGGCUCAGUGGCUUCCCCCACCCAUCUCCCGAGAGAGCAGAGCAUAGCUGUCCCCCUCCCAUAUUUGCAGUCUCAUUUCUAGAUGACAGUUAAGUUCGUUUAAGUUUUUAUCAUCGAUUUAUGUAUGUAUUUAUUUUUUGUAGGUAUGUUAUUUAAUUUUAAAAGCUGCUAAGGACCUGUCAGUCUUAGCCAGAUCCUAAGAGGGAAGCAAUUAAAGUAAUGGAACAAAAUAACAGAUGGCUACUUUGGGGGGUCUAUUGUUAGCCUUAAAAAAAAAAAAAAAAACCUGUCGGAGAAAAACAAAACACCAUCAGAACGUUCAAAUAAUUAACUCACCCUUAAUACAGCCGGAGCCAAAGGUCAGGGAUCUAAACAGUGAGGGCCUGCCCUGUGAGCAGUGAUGUUUCAAUGAACAUGCAAGCCCAGCAAAGGAGGCAUUUCUUCUUGAUCUACUGAGGAGGUUCUGGACGAGCUGUCAAGAGACCUCUCCUGUCCUGGAGAGCAGGGGUAGCAGCAAGACUACCUAGGCCCCUUUUGGCAACUAGGAGAAAGAACUGUGGCCGAGAACUGUAAUUGCUGGAGAAUCUGCUCAAAAACCAGACCAGUCCUUCGCCCAUCCCCAGGAGAAAAUCUAGGACCUUCCACGUCAGAAAUGUUGCAUAACCUACUUAUCAGAUGAGGAAACCGAGGAAGAGGGAGAGUCACCAAGCCAAGGACACACAACGGUCUGAGCAGUAGCCGGGAUAGGAGGCCGACUGGAUCCUCCUCCAUUCAAUCCUCCGGCUACUGAGGAGCCUCUGGCGCCUACACGUGAGACCAAAGGGCAAAGGUGGAGCCUCCCUUCACCGGGAAGCCGCUCCUGUUCACCUGGGUUUUCGAGAGGGUGGAAGAGCCCCACACCCAGCUGCAAGGCUAGACUCCUACAUCCUCCUCACCUCCUCCUCCUCCUGGCUGACUCAGGGUCGCCUGCUCACUACUUGUGACCUGACAGCUGAGGGAUCUGUGGGGCCUGUGCUAGUUCAGCGUGUGUUGACAGCGAUGACCACGGCUGACGUGGCAGAGCUUUGCGAAGUGUUCACUUUGCCCUCAUACCUCCGUGAGGUAGGUUAUUAUGAUAUUGUUCGGUACUUUACAGUAACAGCCCCUACCAUUCAGGGUUCACGUGAGGACCGUAUGACUUAGAAGUGUAAGGAACUAUGUAGUAUCUGUCAUAAUGACUGGUGCUCUGAUCCCCACUUUUUAGAUGAGAAAACUAAGGCACAGAGAGGUAAAAUCACUUGCCCAAAGGCACACCGCUAAGAAACAGAACCAAGAUCUCCACCCAGCAACCCAGCUCCAGAACUGGCACUACCCCCAAGGACAGAGGGCCAACAGAGCCCCCACGACCAGUAAAGGUGUGGAGACACCCUGCAAGGCCCGUCCAAGCCUUGGGGUGUCCCAAGGAAGGACACCCCCCCCCAUCCCUCCCUCAGCAGGGAGGCCUGGAAAACAGGUCCAUGGAGUCUGGCAGAUACAAAUCUCCUGGCCCUGAACCAGAAGGUAACCACCCAAGUCCCUGGGGGCCCUAGCCUUGGUCUAUUGAAGGGCAUCUCCUUAGCCCCACAGCCCGAGGCCUUGAGGCACCACUCACUGUCAAAGUCGAUCUUCUCCACGAUGUUCUUGGGCUUGAUGCUCUCCUCCUGGCUACAGAUAAAGAUCUGGCCCGACUCAUCAGCGCUCCAGCCAUAUUUGCUCAUCCACACCUUUAGCUGGCUGUCUGCAGGUGACACAGGCGGUGCAGGGGCUCAGUCACCCUGAGCCCACAGUACCAGGCAGCCAAAGGCCAGGGCACCCUCCCUGACCAACUCCCAGCCGCCAGUGUCUCCUGCGUUUCUAUGGUUCAUUCUCCAAACGGCAGCCAGAGGGAGCCUUUUAGCUUUCCAACCCUCACCUUACAGAGCUUUUGGCUAAACUUCUUUUAUUUUCUAACUCGCUUUUCUCUCCCCAGGGCAAAUCCUCGUGUCUAACAACAGUAGUGAGCUUCCUUCUCUGCUUUUCCACGCAACUUUGAAAUGGUUCCAAAAUUAUGUCAUCGCUGUCACUAACAAUAAGCCCAGAUCAUCAGUUGGGAAUUUCUUUGCAGUCCGGUUUCUGCCCUUAAAAAAUACGCCAGUAAGGACGUUCAGCUAGAGGGUCCAGCUCCUUGAAGUCACUCUUUUGUGUGACUAUUAGCGAUUUGAUACGGAUUGAUCUGCUUCUCUUUAGACUCAAGUCUGAAAGCAGUUUCAUCCCUUUUUGACUUUUAUCUUUUUAAGAGAGAGGAAGAGUGCACUCACGAGCAGAAGAGGGACAAUCUUUUUUUUUUUGAGAGAGAGAGAGAGAGCCUGCAAGUACGGGGGAGGGGCAGAGAGGGAAUCCCAAGCGGUCUCCACCCUGUCAGUGCAGAGCCCAACACGGGGCUCUAACCCAUGAACCAUGAGAUCAUGGCCCGAGCUCAAAUCAAGAGUCAGACAUUCAACUGACUAAGCCACCCAAAGUGGCUAAGAGAGAGUGAAUUUUAAGCAGGCUCCAUGAAGGGCUGGAUCUCACCACCGUGAAAUCAUGGCCUGAGCCGAAAUCCAGAGUCAGAUGCUCUACUGACUGAGCCACCCAGAUGCCCCUAAUUUCACUUUUAAAUACGUAAAUAUUGGGGCACCUGAGUGGCUCAGUCAGUUCAGUGGCCUACUUCAGCUCAGGUCAUGAUCUCAUGGUUCAUGGGUUUGAGCCCCGCGUCGGGCUCUGUGCUGACAGCUCAGAGCCUGGAGUCUGCUUCAGAUUCUGUGUCUCCCUCUCUCUCUGCCUCUCCCCUGCUCAUUCUCUGUCUCUCAAAGAUGAAUAAACUUUAAAAAUAAAUAAGUAAACAAAUAAAAUAUCUGAUGUAAAGCACUUAGUACAGUGCCUGAAACAGUGUCCAACAAAAGUCAGUUUCUGCUAAAAAAACUAAAAUCACACACGUACACCUACCCGGAACAAAGAGCAGAACUACCCAAUAAGGUACCAGACAAAUCUCACCCCUGACCCUCCAAGGAAUAACCACUUUUCUUCAUUUUAUUUUUCUUCCUGUGUUACUUCUUGUAGAAAUAAGCAAAUAUAUAAACACAGCUUUCUUUCUUUCUUUCUUUCUUUUGGAAGGAUUUUUUAAAAAACCCAAUCUGAUCAUGUCCCUCCUUGCUCAGAACCCUCCUGGGGCUCCAGAUCACUCAGGACAAAGGACUAAGUCCUCAGGAGGCCCCAUGGCAUCUGAGGCUCUCCCUCCCGCCACCACCUCUGCUCCUCGCUCACCGUGCUUCCGCCAGGCACCCUGGCCGCUCUGUGAAUGAGACUCGCGCGUCCCUGCCUCAGCAGCCUCGUCUGCUUGGCCUUCAGGCUCCUGGCCUAACUCCACUGAGGGACCUAGCCACCUCACCCCCACGAGCUGACACGAAACACACACAUCUCAUCUUGUUAUUUGUUUCUGAGGAGAGCAAACCCGAACCAUUCUGUUUCGCUACUGCUGUAUCCCCAAGGCCUAGAACAGUGCCUGGUACAGAGAAGGCAUUCAAAGAACUUAGGCAGAAUAAAUGAAUGCCACAGGAUCUCCACGAAAGAGUACGUUUCACGCCAGCUCCUCACUCCCUCAGUAAUGAGCUGGGCUGUGCCUUCGAAUGACUUGCUGACGCAGGGUGGGUCCAGCCGAGGAACUGGUGGAGGCCCACUGCCCCUGACCACCCCCAGCCUCCUAGACUGGCACCAGGGACCCAGAGAGGCCUUACCGGUCAGAUCCCCGAGCAUCUCAGCCAGUAGCCAGCGAUCAAUGUGCUGGUAAGUGAUGCCCACAACAUGGCAGAUAACUGUAGAGAUCAGGGACAAAGAUGGUGAAGGGCCACCCCCAGGACCCUGCUGCCACUCCCUACCCCUUCCCCCUGGGGAGCCCAGACACGGAGAGGAACUUACAUUUUCGGACGGAGUCUUCAAAGCCAGUUAUACCCUCCAGGAGGUCCAUAUUUUCAUCCAGGGCUUGCUGGGAAAGCAAAGAUAAUGCUCACGACAAUGUUAAUAACACCAAGAAUAUUAAGAUUAAUGAAAUUAACAAUAGAAGUUAACACUCGAGCAUUCACCCCCCAUGCCAACUUUUCUUCUGCGUGCAAUCCUAUGAUGGAAGUUACUACUUUAUGCCCAUUUUAGAGAUAAAAAACCAAAGCUCAGGGCAGCAAAGUGAUUUGCCCCAAAUCACAGAGCCAGGGUUUGAAUCAGAAGGCAGAAACCACAGACCCAAAGAGGGAACAGAGACAGAUUCGCUAACUGUGUUCACCCACCUCCCCUUGCUGUCUCACUCGGAUCUGAAAAGGUCAAGUGUCCCACCCAUGGCCCACAAGGCCCCACAGGACCUGCCUAUCACCUCCUCCCACUCGGCCCCUUUCUCCAGCCACAGGGGCCUCCUCCCUGCUCCUCAGACAUACCACGUACCCGCCCACCUCCAGGCCUUUGUGCGGGCUGGUGUUGGGUCUGGAACUCUCCUUCCCCAUGGCCAGCACCCCCACUUCCUUCAGGUUUCUGUUCAAACCCAGCAAGGGCUCCCACCCACGUUAGUGAGGAAAAUGAGGAACCCACACGGACAAUGAAAAGGAGCAGCCAGUGAGGCAGGAUACAUAGAAGCCAAAUGAUAGAAGGGCCCGGGGGAGCGGAGCGUGACCACCCAUCAGAGGCGGCCGACGGGGCAGACAAUGUGGGCUCCACACUGUGUGUGCUGGGGACCGGGGGGGGCAGAAGGCUGGUCACGAGAGCCUGAAUGGAAUGAGCGCGGUGGGGUCACGUGAGCAGGGAGGGAAGGCGAGACCGAGCGCCAGCAGCCUGCCCCUGGAGCAGGGUAGCUGACGGGACCGCUCUGCUGGACACCGAGGGGUUUCCUGGGACGGGAGCCUUUCUGCUCCGAGGGGAACAGAGGAAAGGGGCAAGAGGCAGAGGUAGUAGGGAGGGCGAAGGUCCAGGGAGAGUUCUCUUUUGUAGGCUAGGAACGAACUACACGGUGGACGUGUCCUCUGGUGACAAGAACAAUCUGGGAAGGCCCCGUUUGCUGUUACAAGAGAGCAGGGAGCCGCUGGUGUGGUGGCACUGAGUGGGUGAGAGGGAAGGGGAACGGCGCCUGAGGAGAGGGAGGGGUGGCCGGAGAUGGGAGCAGGGACAAUUCACCCACUGAAACAGAAAAGUGCUCGGUCAGCCGCCAGCACACGUGGAGGCUGAGGGCAAUACUGUGUGGGAGACUUCUGCUUUGGCGGCUUCGACUUUCCCAUAAAAUGAGGUGGAAGGUCACCUCAUUGACCUUGAGAUGAGACGGGAUGGGGGAGAGGGGAUGAGAAGGUGCAAAGAGCCGGGAGGGGAGCAAGGAGCAAGGCCCUAGGCUGGGAGGGGAUGAGGGUCGAGGGUUGUGGGGCUGGGCUGUCACGUGCUCCCUGGGGCCCUCCUCCAGCCUCUGUCUCUGGUCUCAGAUACAGAUGCACAAUUUACACUAAAGGAAAAAGCAGAACAGAGAACUAGAAAUGAUGGCCAGGCCCAAGAACUGCCAGGCUGGAGACCUCGCAGGGGUGAGCUGGGAAGCUAGGAGGAAGUGGUCAGAGGGUAGAAACGCCUGCCAUUCGUAGGCAGAGAAGGGAGCAAUUACUGAAGACAAGUACCGGGUAGUGGCUCCCAACCUUCGCCAGGCAUCCGGAUCAUCUGGGAUAACUGCUCAAAACCCCAAAGCCUACACCACACUCACACCGGUCACAUCAGGCUCUGAUGGCUGAAGCCAAGUACCAGUACUUUUUUUCUUUUUAACUCCUUAGGGGUCCAACACCCUGAGAGCUGAUCUAGGGCGUGACAGGGAGACAGGGGCCGAGGCCACAUGGAAGACAGGAGCUGGAAAAACCCGAAGGUCGAGGUGGUGGAAGGAUCACUGCUCUGGCUUUUCAAGCAUCGGAGAAUGACAGGAGUGGGGCAGUGCACAGGAACUCUGUCCUUCACGAGAGGAGGAGCGGUUGCCAGGGGGCCGAAACCAACAAGGCGGGGCAGGAAGUGCCGACACCUGAGCUUCAGGACUGAGCGUGUGCAAGGGGAAACGGGAUCUGGGAAUGAUGGCUCCUGGCCAUCCCGCUGGGCCACUGCAGAAGUGGAGGGUGGGGCCCCAGUUAGAGCAAGAAAGGGAGGGAGCACUCAGAGGGUGGAGGAUUUCGGCAGGAAGGACAGAUGUGAGGGCACGCACGGGUGCCCUGCCCUGGGUGCUGGGGGCACAAGGGACGACGUGGGAGUCCGGACUCUGCGAGGGUGACAAAUCCACGCGGUCACACUCGCAGAGCCCUGGGCACGGGAGCCACCGCCCACCGCUGUGCAGGCGGACGACAAAUGUGCAGGGUCAUCCCAUUCAGCAGGCUGCCGUGCCGGGCCCAGCAGCCCACCCUGCCCCCCGCCCCGGGAGCCAAGUUACCCAGAAGGCCUGGAAGUGGCAGGUCUCCAGCAGGUCCCCGAGGUAUAAGAUCUGUCGGAUUGGUCGUUCUUCUUGCUGAGAUGGGAAAGCGUUAAGGGAAAACAGACCUGAGCCUCGGGAGGCCGCGGCCGAGCCAUCUCCCCGCGCCCACCUUCUGUCCGCCGAAGCACAACUGUGAAGGCAAACGGCGAGCCAACGACAGGAGACAAUUAAGUCAGCGACCGGCCUGUCCACAUACUGGGAUCGAGUCAACUCUCUGAGAACCAACGCAGAGGCGCGACAAGACACGCUGGGAUACGAAAGCAAGAUGCAUACCAGCAUGCAUUGAGCGCCACCGUGGGGGUGGGGAGCAUAUGGACAUGAACGCACACAACUGUACUUGUGCGUCCCCAGGGGAUCCCUGGCAGGGUGGGUACCCAAGAACUGCAAACAACUGUUGUCUCCUGGCGGUGGGGAGUGGGGUGGCUGCGGGACAGGGGAGGGAGGAAGCCUCUUUUUCCACCAUACACUCUUUCCGUACUUGUAACGCCAUACCACAUGCCUAUUUUUUUGGAUGUUUAUUUAUUUUUGAGAGACAGAGCACGAGCAGGGGAGGAGCAGAGAGAGGGAGAUGCAGAAUCUGAAGCCGGCUCCAGGCUCUGAGCCGUCAGCACAGAGCCUGACACGGGGCUCGAACUCACGAACUGUGAGAUCAUGACCCGAGCCGAAGUCAGACGCUUAACCAACCGACUGAGCCACCCAGGCGCCCCAGCCUAUUUUUUUUAAGCCACCAGAGCAGACCUCUGGAGAAGGUGGACAGUUUCGCAGAAGGUAGACCUCCCACGGACACACCUGGCAGCGCAGGUUCAAGGCGUAAGCCACCACUUCUCAGCUCGGCUGCGCGCGGCAGCCCUGGGGACCGGGAGUGCCAGCAGCAAGGGGCACGAUGUGGAUGGGGUGGCUCUGCCAAGUGUGUCAAGUGAUCGCCGGGCAGAGGGAGGCCCACCCGGCCAAGUGCUGGACCAGCCACAAAAAAGCAGGUCAGAGCAAGAUGGGGGGGGGAAGCCAGUUCAUUUUCACUCAACACCGUCACUAAAGGCCAGCAGUGUGCCACAUACAGCUGUCAAUGCAGCUCUUCAUGACUCCUGCCUGGUGCUCGGGCCCCACUUCCUCCUCCUUAAUCAGCUAGAACCCUCAUGGGAAUCCUUCUAAGGCAGAAACCUACCCAUAAUACUCUGCGGUUUUAAAACCUUCUAUAAUUUCCUAGUGCCCUUUUGAGUCUGACCAAAAUGUAUCUUGAAAUCUGUGGUAAGGCCGCGCUGAACUUCCUCUACUGCCUCUGAAAGAGCACCAAGCUCUUCUCUUCCUCCAGGCCUCCUUACGUACUGUUCCCUCUGCUUGAUCACCCUUCCUUAAUAUUUCAUUUCGCUCAUCUUUCGGAUGUCUCCUCCUCCAAGAAGUCUUCCCUAACAUCCAGGCAGGGGCAGGUGCCUCCUCUCCUCUGGCCCCUCUAAACCCCAACCCCUGACUUCUCCUGGCUGUCAUUGAUAGAGGACCUAUCUCCCCCACUGGGCUGUGAGCUCUGUGAGGGCAGGGGCCAGACCUGUUUCAGCCACCAAAAUGUCCCAUCUAGCACUGCAAGCCUGGAGCAGGUGCCCAAGUGUUUGUGGCUGAACUCACAGACCCCUUCCCCGUGAAUUCACCUACCUUGCCCUCCCCCCUCGCCCACACGCCCGGCCUGGAAAUUAGAAGGAUACAUGUGCCUGAUCGAUCAUGCACUUGCACAGUGUGAAGUCGGUGUGGGGCAGGUUGGUGAGGGCCUUUAGCAGUAUCUGGGCCGUCACCGUGGUUUGAAAGAAGGCUGGGUUGAACUGGUACCUGAGAAGGGGAACAAGAGACACAUCAAUCGUGGCAUCUGCCGGUCCCUGGGCCUCAUCAGAUGCCCAGCGCUUUGGCCCAGAGCUUGGGAGCUGGACGUGCCUGGGCUCCAUUCCCAAUCACAGCAUUCUGGCUCUGUGACCUUAACCUCCCUGACCUACAUCCCUGUUCUGCAGAUGGGGGACAGUUAAUCCUCCCAACCACCCAGUAAGGCGGAUGCUGUUAAGUGGUUCACAAAUGACAAUGUAAGUUAUUAGUCUGGAAUAGUGGUUGAGGCCCUGGAACCAGACUGCUUGGAUUUUUUUUUUUUUUUUUUUACUUUUGACAGAGAGAUAAAGUGCAAGUGAGCACACGAGCAGAGGCAGAGAGAAAGCAUCCCAAGCAGGCUCCGCAUUGUCAGCGCAGAGCCUGACACGGGCUCAAACUCACUAACCGCGACAUCAUGACCUGAGUAGAAACCAAGAGUCGGAUGCUUAACGGACUGAGCCACCCAGCCCCCCUCAUCCCCUUAAAAAUUCAAGUUAGUUGGGGCGCCUGGGUGGCUCAGUUGGUUAGGCAUCUGACUUCGGCUCAGGUCAUGAUCUUGUGGUUCAUGAGUUUGAGCCCCACGUCGAGCUCUGUGCUGACAGAUCAGAGCCUGGAGCCUACUUGGAUUCUGUGUCUCCCUCUCUCUCUGCCCCUCCCUGCUCAUGCUCUCUGCCUCUCUCUCAAAAAUAAACAAACAUUAAAAUAAUAGUAAUAAUAACAAAAAUUCAAGUUCGUCAUCGGUGUAGUCUUGGCUUCAGGAGCAGAACCCAGUGAUUCAUCUCUUACAUACGACAUCUACCGCUCAUCCCAAAAAAUGCCCUCGUUAAUGCCCGUCACCUUGUUACCCACCCCCUCCCCUCCAGCAGCUCUCGGUCCAGACUACUUGGAUUUAAACUUCCCUGCUAAGGGACCCUGGACUGCCUAUUUUAAAUUCUCUGUGCACCAGUUUCCUCCCUCGAAAAAAAGGGACAAGAACGACCCUAUCUUCUUCACAAGGGCAGUAUAGCAUCCGAGUUAAAACACACAAAAGCUGACAGCACGGUAGCUACCGCAUGAGAAACACCCACUAAGCAGCAGUUAUCAUCAGAAACAAUGGACAACCCCAUCAGUACAAGUGUUGUUAUAUCUCCAUUUCCCAGACGUCAGAAUCGAGACAAUAUAUAAAAAUUACACAACUGACAGUAUGUUGAGAAAGCACCGCGAGGAAGGAACUCAACUAUCCGUCAACGAGCGAAUGGGCAAUUAAGACAGUCACACAGCAGAGCACUAAACAGCAAAAACAAAAACCUGCAGCCGCAGACAAAAUGGAUGGGUCUCACAAACCCAGCGAGACGAGGAAGAUGCCGAGUCUAGAAAAGCUCACGCCGUCUGGCUACAUUUGCGUCACGUUCAAAGCAAACAAAAGUAAGCUAAGCUAAUCGGUAUGCAUGCGAGUGUGGUAAACUCACAUGAAGCCAGACCACGAGAACCUAAAGUGGUCACCAGGGUGGGGGUGAGGUGGUGGCACAAAGCAUACAAGGCAAAGGGCCUGGGGCCCUGGGCAACACUCACCUCUAUGCUAUGGGUGGUGAUCACAUGGGGUUUCACUUAUACUCACUUAGCUAUUCAUUUGUGUUUUGUACUAACCUAUAUGUGUACCCUGUAAUUACUUUUUUAAAAACCAUCUUUCCUCCUGCCCCAACUCCCUUGGCUUCCUAGUUUUGCACACCAAGAAAAGCCACAUCCCAAAGGCUACCCCCAACUUCAGCCUCAUCCAAUGUUGCCAGCGGUACCCUGCUGGUUGCUGGCCUGGAGGCGGGGAUGGAGGCAGAUACUCACAGCUUCAGGACGGCCAGGUUGGCUUCCAGAUCAUAGGCAUUCUCCUUGGCCUGUGUCUCCACAUACCGCUCCAGCGUGGCCAGAUU